Molecule: long non-coding RNA, 192 nt
Organism: Alosa sapidissima (American shad)
Lineage: Eukaryota; Metazoa; Chordata; Actinopteri; Clupeiformes; Clupeidae
Exons: 4
Source: RefSeq, a predicted model, not a curated record
UUGAGGUGCAAACAUGGAUGUUACAUUUGUUUCAAAAACCAAACCACAAAAAAAAGUACUUAGAAUAUCUUUUUUUUAUAAUUAAGUAAAAUCUACUUGAAUACACUUUGAAACAAGAGUACAACAAAAUAGAAUAUACUUCAAAUGUUGAAUAUACAAACUAUUAUAGCUCAAAUCUGAACACUGGUAAUU